UACGUAGGGGGCAAGCGUUGUCCGGAAUCAUUGGGCGUAAAGAGCGCGUAGGCGGUCCGGUAAGUCCGCUCUGAAAGUCCGGGGCUCAACCCCGGGAGGCGGGCGGAUACUGCCGGGCUAGAGUCCGGAAGAGGCGAGUGGAAUUCCUGGUGUAGCGGUGAAAUGCGUAGAUAUCCGGAGGAACACCGGUGGCGAAGGCGGCUUCCUGGACCGACACUGACGCUGAGGCGCGAAAGCUAGGGGAGCAAACGGG
Molecule: ribosomal RNA, 253 nt
Filed under: uncultured bacterium
Lineage: Bacteria
Description: partial 16S ribosomal RNA
Rfam family: Bacterial small subunit ribosomal RNA
Source: RNAcentral